RNAcentral lists this ribosomal RNA (753 nucleotides) under uncultured Actinomyces sp. RNAcentral's name for it is "bacterial SSU rRNA". It matches the Rfam family "Bacterial small subunit ribosomal RNA", at positions 28 to 776 of the family's 1533-position model. The record is from RNAcentral. Lineage: Bacteria; Bacillati; Actinomycetota; Actinomycetes; Actinomycetales; Actinomycetaceae.
GACGAACGCUGGCGGCGUGCUUAACACAUGCAAGUCGAACGCUGAAGGCCCAGCUUGCUGGGUUGGAUGAGUGGCGAACGGGUGAGUAACACGUGAGUAACCUGCCCCCUUCUUUGGGAUAACGGUCGGAAACGGCUGCUAAUACCGGGUAUUCACUGUCCUUCGCAUGGGGGGUGGUGGAAAGGUUUUUUCUGGUGGGGGAUGGGCUCGCGGCCUAUCAGCUUGUUGGUGGGGUGAUGGCUUACCAAGGCUUUGACGGGUAACCGGCCUGAGAGGGUGACCGGUCACAUUGGGACUGAGAUACGGCCCAGACUCCUACGGGAGGNNGCAGUGGGGAAUAUUGCACAAUGGGCGAAAGCCUGAUGCAGCGACGCCGCGUGAGGGAUGGAGGCCUUCGGGUUGUAAACCUCUUUCGCUCAUGGUCAAGCCGCAACUUUGGGUUGUGGUGAGGGUAGUGGGUAAAGAAGCACCGGCUAACUACGUGCCAGCAGCCGCGGUAAUACGUAGGGUGCGAGCGUUGUCCGGAAUUAUUGGGCGUAAAGGGCUUGUAGGCGGUUUGUCGCGUCUGCCGUGAAAUCCUCUGGCUUAACUGGGGGCGUGCGGUGGGUACGGGCAGGCUUGAGUGCGGUAGGGGAGACUGGAACUCCUGGUGUAGCGGUGGAAUGCGCAGAUAUCAGGAAGAACACCGGUGGCGAAGGCGGGUCUCUGGGCCGUUACUGACGCUGAGGAGCGAAAGCGUGGGGAGCGAACAGG